This 1001-nucleotide long non-coding RNA is filed under the name Trifolium pratense (red clover). RNAcentral describes it as "long non-coding RNA (TPRA_LNC007903)". The record is from RNAcentral. Lineage: Eukaryota; Viridiplantae; Streptophyta; Magnoliopsida; Fabales; Fabaceae.
UAUAAUCUCUCAUCACGAACUACCCUGACUUGGACACAAGCCUAAAUAUAUAAAAAAAAAAGGCACACACACUCAUCAAACUGAUAUAAUAUACUCAUUAGAAAAGUACACAUUAUUUGUACCAAAAAAAGAAAGAAAACUACACUAUUUCUUUUAUUUUUUAUGGUUAUUAGUGUGUGCCUUCAAUAAGUAUGAAACUGCGACGGCUAAUGGCUGUAGCUAGGCGAGUGGCACCCAAAUUAGGAAAAAGCUGGAGUUAUUCCAGGAGAUGGGGACGAGGCUACCAAAAUUAGAGAUAUAUUCACUAAUAAUCAUUCUCUCAUAUUCAUAUACCAUGAAUUAGGGUAGAUUGGUCAUCUACUUUUUUACAAAUAACAAAAAACACGAAGACCUAAGCUCAUAACACUUAUGAUUAAGGUAUUCACAACAAUAACAAAGGCAGGAACAGUUGGCACCCACUUAGGGCCGUGAAAAAUCAUUUCCAGGCCACAUUACACCGUAAAAGAUGGUUACAUCAUUGCCCUCCGUAAAAGAACUGGAACUUCCAUUACUUCCCUUGAUCAAAAUGACGAAAGCUUAAGACUUGAUUGGUUCAAAGUUGUCUUCCACCAAGAUGAACAAGCACGUAAAAAAGGAGUAAUUCAAGUAGAUUACAUAUGUUGUAAUUUAGCGCUUAACUCAUUUAACUUCCUGUUUCCUUUAAAGUUUAAACAAUAUGACUUUCAUCCCCCCUUUGACAGACAGAGUUCUCGAAACUAUCUCACUUUUUGUGGGUUUUUAACCUCUUUUGAUCAUUUUGAAUUUUUUUUUGGUUUAUAACCCUCUGGUUCCUAGGGGAAGGGAGCCCUAGUAAUCCAAAGUUCGACCGCGAGGUAAGUAAAGUCUGAUAGAAUUUCUACAAUAUCAUGAGCGAAAUUCAACCUUAAACAGCGGAAACGAAAUUGAAAUUAAAUAGCCGAAAUACCUCCCGCCAUUGCUCUUGCUUAAAGGUUGUUCUUGCU